GAGUUUGAUCCUGGUUCAGAUUGAACGCUAGCGGGAUGCUUUACACAUGCAAGUCGAACGGCAGCACGAGAGAGCUUGCUCUCUUGGUGGCGAGUGGCGGACGGGUGAGUAAUAUAUCGGAACGUGCCUAGUAGCGGGGGAUAACUACUCGAAAGAGUGGCUAAUACCGCAUACGCCCUACGGGGGAAAGGGGGGGAUCGCAAGACCUCUCACUAUUAGAGCGGCCGAUAUCGGAUUAGCUAGUUGGUGGGGUAAAGGCUCACCAAGGCAACGAUCCGUAGCUGGUUUGAGAGGACGACCAGCCACACUGGGACUGAGACACGGCCCAGACUCCUACGGGAGGCAGCAGUGGGGAAUUUUGGACAAUGGGGGAAACCCUGAUCCAGCCAUCCCGCGUGUAUGAUGAAGGCCUUCGGGUUGUAAAGUACUUUUGGCAGAGAAGAAAAGGUACCUCCUAAUACGAGGUACUGCUGACGGUAUCUGCAGAAUAAGCACCGGCUAACUACGUGCCAGCAGCCGCGGUAAUAC
This 528-nucleotide ribosomal RNA is filed under the name uncultured Alcaligenes sp. RNAcentral's name for it is "bacterial SSU rRNA". It matches the Rfam family "Bacterial small subunit ribosomal RNA", at positions 9 to 526 of the family's 1533-position model. The record is from RNAcentral. Lineage: Bacteria; Pseudomonadati; Pseudomonadota; Betaproteobacteria; Burkholderiales; Alcaligenaceae.